Molecule: long non-coding RNA, 558 nt
Filed under: Pan troglodytes (chimpanzee)
Lineage: Eukaryota; Metazoa; Chordata; Mammalia; Primates; Hominidae
Description: long non-coding RNA NONPTRT015408
Source: RNAcentral
GUCUGUCCACACAUCUCUCCUGUGGAUGGUUUCCACCCUCACCCCUACAUCCCUCUGUGUCUGUCCACACAUCUCUCCUGUGGAUGGUUUCCACCCUCACCCCUACAUCCCUCUGUGUCUGUCCACACACCUCUCCUGUGGAUGGUUUCCACCCUCAUCCCUACAUCCCUCGUGUCUAUCCACACACCUCUCCUGUGGAUGGUUUCCACCCUCAUCCCUACAUGCCUCUGUGUCUGUCCACACACCUCUCCUGUGGAUGGUUUCCACCCUCAUCCGUACAUCCCUCUGUGUCUGUCCACACAUCUCUCUUGUGGAUGGUUUCCACCCUCACCCCUACAUCCCUCUGUGUCUGUCCACAUGUCUCCUGUGGAUGGCUUCCACCCUCACCCCUACAUCCCUCUGUGUCUAUCCACACAUCUCUCCUGUGGAUGGUUUCCACCCUCACCCCUACAUCCCUCUGUGUCUGUCCACCCAUCUUUCCUGUGGAUGGUUUCCACUCUCACCUCAAUGCAAGUCUCCAGCCCAGUCCCAGAUGCCUCACGGCCCACUUGCUACCUC